AUGUCUGUAUUUCAAGAUGUUUAUAACAAAUGUAAUGCGUCUAUGGACUUUUAUAAAUUCAGAGAAUACUCUGAUAAAAAGGAACACAUUGUUAAUACUUGUUUCUCUCGAGAAAGUUAACGAAUAAUUGCGAAGAUAUUAAUAAAUAGUUAAAUACUAAUGGAGAUGAGUGGGAAUAAAAGCAGAGUUAAAGGCAAGACAUUAGAGAAGAGAAAAAGAAGAUGAAAAAUUCCCUCGUCACUAUUAUCUCUCCUGGGCACAAGUGUCCCACUAUAUAAUUUAUGAUUUAUUUAACUUGCCCUAAAUACAAAUAAUUUCAUCUUUUAUUUGUUCGAGGCAACCUGGGUUUUUUUAUUCUUCCAGGAAAAUGUACUACUCCAUAUGUUUUAAUUUUAUUAUACAUUAGACCAAUAAAAAAU
RNAcentral lists this long non-coding RNA (419 nucleotides) under Brassica napus (rape). RNAcentral's name for it is "long non-coding RNA (BNAP_LNC005576)". The record is from RNAcentral. Lineage: Eukaryota; Viridiplantae; Streptophyta; Magnoliopsida; Brassicales; Brassicaceae.